GGAUGUGAGGAUGAUCUGGCUGGCUAAGCAUAUGUCUCCUUCCUCCCUCAAUGCUCUAUAUACAGCCCUUCCAAAACUGUACAUUUAGUCAGAGGACAACCUUCUCCAAAUAGAGAAGGACCAGUGUUCCAUNGAGACUGUGAGUAGCUGAGGUUCCCCUGCCAUAACCUCCCAAUAAGCUCUCAAAAGCAAUUUUUGCUGGAGAGAUGGCACAGAGGUUAAGAGCACACCUUUAAUCCCAGCACCCGGGAGGCAGAGGCAGGCGGAUCUCUGUGAG
Molecule: small nuclear RNA, 277 nt
Filed under: Neotoma lepida (desert woodrat)
Lineage: Eukaryota; Metazoa; Chordata; Mammalia; Rodentia; Cricetidae
Description: 7SK RNA
Rfam family: 7SK RNA
About the family: 7SK was discovered as an abundant small nuclear RNA in the mid-70s but a possible function has only recently been suggested. Two independent studies have found that 7SK RNA binds the CDK9/cyclin T complex (known as elongation factor P-TEFb).
Source: Rfam by way of RNAcentral